UAGGGAAUAUUGCAAAAUGGGCGAAAGCCCGAUGCAGCAACGCCGCGUGGGCGAUGAAGGCCUUCGGGUCGUAAAGCCCUUUUUGAGGGGAUGAGGAAGGACAGUACCCUCAGAAUAAGCCUCGGCUAACUACGUGCCAGCAGCCGCGGUAAAACGUAGGAGGCGAGCGUUAUCCGGAUUUACUGGGCGUAAAGCGCGUGCAGGCGGAUUGGAGAGUUGGAUGUGAAAGCUCCCGGCUUAACUGGGAGAGGUCGUUCAAUACUUCCAGUCUUGAGUGCAGUAGAGGGAAGUGGAAUUCCGGGUGUAGUGGUGGAAUGCGUAGAUAUCCGGAGGAACACCAGUGGCGAAAGCGGCUUCCUGGACUGUAACUGACGCUCAGACGCGAAAGCUAGGGUAGCAAACG
RNAcentral lists this ribosomal RNA (403 nucleotides) under uncultured bacterium. Its description in RNAcentral is "bacterial SSU rRNA". It matches the Rfam family "Bacterial small subunit ribosomal RNA", at positions 355 to 774 of the family's 1533-position model. The record is from RNAcentral.